This 300-nucleotide ribosomal RNA is filed under the name uncultured archaeon. RNAcentral's name for it is "bacterial SSU rRNA". The stretch from base 52 to 300 matches the Rfam family "Bacterial small subunit ribosomal RNA", at positions 547 to 795 of the family's 1533-position model. The record is from RNAcentral.
GCGAACCCGGUGCGAGCGUGGGGGGGAAUCGGGAGGAGGAAAGAGUUAACGGGAAUUGUUGGGCGGGAAGCGGCCGUAGGUGGCGAGUGAAGGCUGCGGUCAAAGACGGGGGCUGAACCCUGGAAAGGCCGUGGAAACUGACGAGCUAGAGUGCAGUAGGGGUAGAGGGAAUUCCCGGUGUAGCGGUGAAAUGCGUAGAGCUCGGGAAGAACAUCGGUGGCGAAAGCGCUCUACUGGACUGCAACUGACACUCAGGGACGAAAGCUAGGGGAGCGAAUGGGAUUAGAUACCCCAGUAGUC